RNAcentral lists this ribosomal RNA (504 nucleotides) under uncultured bacterium. RNAcentral describes it as "bacterial SSU rRNA". It matches the Rfam family "Bacterial small subunit ribosomal RNA", at positions 94 to 630 of the family's 1533-position model. The record is from RNAcentral.
AGCGGCGUACGGGUGAGUAAAACGUGGGUAAUCUACCUCUUAGUGGGGAAUAACCCUGGGAAACCGGGGCUAAUACCGCAUAAGCCUGCAAAGGGAAAGCAGCAAUGCGCUGGGAGAGGAGCCCGCGGCCGAUUAGCUAGUUGGUGGGGUAAUGGCUCACCAAGGCGACGAUCGGUAGCCGGCCUGAGAGGGCACACGGCCACACUGGCACUGAAACACGGGCCAGACUCCUACGGGAGGCAGCAGUGGGGAAUCUUGCACAAUGGGGGAAACCCUGAUGCAGCGACGCCGCGUGAGCGAUGAAGCCCUUCGGGGUGUAAAGCUCUCUCGGCAGGAACGAUAAUGACGGUACCUGAAGAAGAAGCUGCGGCUAACUACGUGCCAGCAGCCGCGGUAAUACGUAGGCAGCGAGCGUUGUUCGGAAUUACUGGGCGUAAAGAGUGUGUAGGCGGUGCUCUAAGUUUGGUGUGAAAUCUCCCGGCUUAACUGGGAGGGUGCGCCGAA